AUUCCAGCUCCAAUAGCGUAUAUUAAAGUUGUUGCAGUUAAAACGCUCGUAGUCGGAUUUCGGGGCGGGCCGACCGGUCUGCCGAUGGGUAUGCACUGGCCGGCGCGUCCUUCCACCCGGAGACCGCGGCUACUCUUAACUGAGCGGGCGCGGGAGACGGGUCUUUUACUUUGAAAAAAUCAGAGUGUUUCAAGCAGGCAGUCGCUCUUGCAUGGAUUAGCAUGGGAUAAUGAAAUAGGACUCUGGUGCUAUUUUGUUGGUUUCGAACACCGGAGUAAUGAUUAACAGGGACAGUCAGGGGCACUCGUAUUCCGCCGAGAGAGGUGAAAUUCUCAGACCAGCGGAAGACGAACCACUGCGAAAGCAUUUGCCAGGGAUGUUUUCAUUA
This 388-nucleotide ribosomal RNA is filed under the name Gephyrocapsa sp. Its description in RNAcentral is "partial small subunit ribosomal RNA". It matches the Rfam family "Eukaryotic small subunit ribosomal RNA", at positions 582 to 975 of the family's 1831-position model. Lineage: Eukaryota; Haptophyta; Isochrysidales; Noelaerhabdaceae. The record is from RNAcentral.